UUAAAUUUAGCCUUAUAUUUUUUUUUUUUAUAAAAAUAGUAUUAUUAUUAUUCUAUUACUAUUUCAUCACAAGGCUUUUAAGGAAACUUCAUUAAGCCUAGAAGUAGAAAGAGAGCUCGGCUUUAAUGAGGCUUCUCCCUAAAAAUACAGCUUGUCCUUUCCCAGCCCAACCCUAACCACCCAACAUAGCUCAAACCCUAACCGCCACCACCAGGCCUACUAGCACAUAAAUUUACAACACAACCCCAACAAACCACCCAAAAAGAACUCCAACCCAAGGAGAUUACUGUACUUUAAAUACAAAUACAAAAUCAGAGGGGGGUUCGUCAGAGACCGUGUUUUUGCAAGAACCAGUGUUAUAUGUAGCAAGUGCAGCUUUAAGGUGUUUGGUAUUGUUUGCUGAGCUCCGGAAACCUGAUCCGAAUCGUGAAGCAUCAAAGAAAGCCCUUGAACAUAAGAAAGAAAUCACUAAGCAUUUGGGUCGUUCCUUUAUCCAAACAAACCCUUAUCAGGCGCGCGCGCAAAGUUUAUAUUUUUGCUGAAAAGAUUAGAUUUUUUUUUGCAUAUUUUGUUUUGGGCUUUUUUUUUUGGGUUUUAGAGGAUUAUGUGAAUCUUGGUUCUAGGGGUAAUUAAUGGAAUUUAGGUUUGUUUUGGUUUAUUGUUUUCUGGAGGAUUCUGUGAAUUUUGGUUAUAUGGUCAGAUAAUGAAACAAAUAAUUUUGUGAAUUUGGAUUAUAGGGUUAGUUAAUGGCAUAUAGGCUUUGUUUUUAUUAUGUGCUAUAGGUUUUAUUAUAUGCUUGAAUUGUCAUUUAUCUGCAAAAGUUUGAGUUUUGUUUGUGAUAGUGGGGUUGAGGUUGAUAUUGCAAUAAGGGAUGUGGGUGGUUUAUUGUAGGGAAUAGGGAUUUAGGGGGGGGUCUGGGUGUUUUGAUGUAGAUAGGUGCUUUAAUCGUUGUUUUGGAUAUGAGUGAGUGAAUGCUUGUGCCAAAUGGGAUGCGAUUAAGUUUCCAGUUUUGCUGUGAUGAAUGAAGUUGCUUUUUGGUAGUUGAAACUAAGUUAAUUUCAGAUUGAGUUAUUUGUUUAACUUUUGAACUGAUGGGUUGGAGGUUAGGCCUCUGGGUUGAUGAAAAGUUCAAAUUCUUGUGUGACAAUGGAGAUGGGGGCAAUGAGAUUAAGAUUGCGAUGAGGUAUCUUGGUGGUUUAGUGGGUUAUUGUAUGGAUUAGGGGAUUUGGGUGUUUUAGUGAAGAUAGGUAAUUUAAUCAAUUUUUGGGACGGGGAGUGACUCCUUGUGCUGAAUAGGGUGUGUUUAAGUUUCCAGUUCUGCUGGGAUGCAUGAAGUUGUCUUCUGUUGGUAGAAACUAAGUUCAAUUCUGAUUGAGUUGUAUAUUGAGCUUUUGUACUGGAGCGCUGGAGUUUAGGCCUCUGGGUCGAUGUUAUAGCAUGCUUGAAUUGUCAUUUAUUUGCUAGAAUUUUGAAUUUUGUGUGAUAAUAGGAUGAGGACCAUAAGGGUAAGACUUCAAUAAGGGAUGUGUGUGGUUUGGUGGGUUAUUUUAGGGAACAUUGAUUGGAGAAUUAGGGUGUUUUGGUGAAGAUAGGUGCUUCCAACAGUUUUGGGGAUGUUGGGGAGUGAUUGCUCAUGCUGAAUGGGAUAUGAUUAAAUUUCAAGUUUUGUUGGAUGGAUGGAGUUAUUUUUGGUUGGUGGAAACUGGAGACCAAGUUCGUUUUAUUAAAUAUUGGAACUUUUGUACUAUUGUGUUGACCUUGGAUUGGUGCUAUAGUAUUGUUGUCAUUGUUUAUACAACCAUAAACCGUUAUAAUAUUUCCUGGUGUCUUCAAACGUGCCAUUUGUUUUCUAGGCUGUCUAUACUUUGUUGGCUGCUACCAUGCAACAAACAAAGUUUCUAACGUCAACUGAAUACAUGAAAAUGUCCAUCAAAUGGAGUACAUUUGAGUCUCUUCUAUAUCAUAAACUAAUGGCACAUGAUUAUUAGUUACAUUUAUAUGAGUCCACCUUUUUUGAAAAUGAUACUAUGUGAACGCUGAUGGCUGCUAUGUUCAGUAAUAGCCUCCUGCGUGACUAACUUGACAGGUUCAUAGUUGGAAGAAAUUAAAUUUGAAGACUUGGCCUUGAACCAAUAUGAUUGCUAUAACUGGGAAACAUAGAUAUUAGUUCUUUCUAUGCCUAAUGAAAUUUGGAUGGAAAACCAAAUUUUCAAUUAUGAAGCCUUCUGACGGCAAUUGCUUUGUCGAAGAUUUAAACUGCUUCGUAACAAUCAUGCCUAUCCUCUAAACACUAUCCAAUAUGGCCAUGUUCUCAUGUUGAAAAUAUAAUUGAUUGGAAUAGAGGUUCGGUUUAAUGGUUUAUCAAUAUGCUGUAAUUGUAUAUUUUUAUUUUUCAAUUGGACGAUUGGAAUCUAUCAAGCAAGCUUUGUAUGAACUGGUGAUUCUUCCUCUGCGGAAACCUGAGCUCUUCUCACAUGAGAAACUUCUUGGUCCACAAAAGGGGGUAUUGUUAUAUGGACCUCCAGGCACCCACCGACUAUGUUGAGUGAAAUUUAGUUUCACUUUGAUAAUGGAAGCAAGGUAGUACUUUGUGAACAUUCUUAACUAAGAUUGAACAUUCCUAACUUGUCCUUUUUGAAGAUCUUUAUUAGCAGCAAGAUUAUUUUGAAUGCUCUAUUAGCUUUAAAAAACAGGGCACUGUAGCUUGCUUAUCUAAUGGAUCUUACUCCGAUGAAUGAGAUUGUAAAAUGAUCAAAAUAUCUUAAUUCUUAAAAUGCUACUAUUCAAUAGUCAAAUUCUCAAAUUCAUAAUAAAAAAUUAUGUAUAAAAAGAAAAGAGAGAGAGAGAGAGGGAUUGUGCUUGGACUUUGGAUCCCCAGCUCCCAUUAACAAUGGGUUCUGCUCACUCGUCUGCCUUUCCUUAACAUCAUUACAAUGAUAUUCUGUGUUUCAAAGAAGAACCCAAUAGUUUUUUUGCUAUUUACUUCUUGAUUUUUUCUCCUUUUAACUGCCCUAGUAAUCUUUUGUUCAUGAUGAUUAUGAAAAAAACUUGUUUGACCGCUACAGUGUUCUGUCCUCAUAAUUUCAAUUUGUAAAUGGAUCGAGCAAAGAAACCCUACCAAUCAUGAUUGAUGUCCUGACCAUAAUUUUAAUUUGUAAAAGGAUCAAGCAAAAACAUUCAUGAUUGAUAAUUUACUUGCUUUAACUCAGACACAAACAUAUUAAAAAUAUUUUUUUUUAUUGUAGAAAAAAUAUUUAUUUAAUAUUGGUAUAGAUAGAGGUAAUUAUUUUCGGUUCGAGUCAAAACAUAAUAAUUAAAUUAAUUUAAAAGGAAAAAAUCAAAACCGAUUUGGCUCGGUUUUUUCUAUUGAAUGGUACUGACUUAUGCAUUUAUGCAACAUACCAGGCUACAAACUGAAUAAUCUUGCAAUACAUUGAUGAUUAUUUACUAUUGAAUAGUAGCAUUUAGGUCAGCAUCCACAACUCUUUCUUACAUGGUGAAAAAGAAUAAACGCAAAGGUUGAAUAUGAGUUUUCCUCUCAAGACUUUAUGGAAGAUAAGAUUUCUGGAAAAUUUUCCAAAACUGACUUCUUUUUGAAAAAUUAUUACAUGGAUCACGUUCGAUUGGUCGGCGAACCAGUAUUGUUAUUGGCGACGGAACAAACAGAAAUCAAGCUAGUACUGUGGUGCAUAUCUCAGGUUUUGGUUUGCAAUUCAUAAAUCCCUCCUUCCACGACUCUGUCUUGGGAUGCUGGCAAUUCCAUGAAGCAGAGCUAUUAAUGGAAAAGGAUUCUUUGAAUUGGAGCAAAGAAAGACUUUGGUCAUGAGCACAAAAAUGAGAUGAAGAAAUUGUUGAAAGGAAAUGGAAGAGAAACAGAAUGAAAGAGAGGGACGGUGGUGAAAACCCCAUGUUUGGCCUUACAGGAUUUAGUAGUAUAUUUGGGAGAGAUGAGGAAUAAAGAAAGGCAUUGUUUAUAUAUUUAGUAGUAUAUUUAUAGACAAAGCAAUCUUAUAUACUGACGAAAUCGAAGUCACUGUCCGACCAAAUCUCAAGUACAAGAGUGAGUAAUACGUGCGCAAAGCAAUGGGGGCACUAAAGACUAUGCACUUAUUUAUCGUUUCUCGUGACCCAAAAGUACUCUUUGUGUGCGCUUGGUAAUGUAUAACAGUUUAAAAAUCGUGACAGCUUAAUUUGAAUGUUCAGAUAUGUUUUUCCAAAUUGUAUUUAGCAAUGAGGUUUAUGCGAAGAUUGCUAUAAUUAAGUUUUGCUCUGGUGCCCAGUUUAUGAGUUUUGUUCUAAUCUUAAGCAGAUGCUACCAUAGAAUUAUAGAGAUUUAGGCAGUCUUUGUAUAAGGGGGGCUGCGCAAAAGUAUGUUAGUUCCAAUGAUAUUGAAGCUUUUUGUUUCUUGGAAACUAAAAUUUCUAAUUAUACGAACACCUUAGUCAAAAGUAUUUGGAGUGGGUCUAAACUGGAAUGGUAUAGUUUCUUAGCAAUUUAAUUAUGUUAUUGUAUGUGUGUUAAGCAUUAUUGCAUGCAUCACUUAUAAAGUAUUUUUAUUUUUGAACAGGAUGUCAUAGCAUGUGAUGUUAUAAAUCCUGAUCACAUAGAUGUGGAAUUUGAAUUAAUUGGAGGGUUGGAAUCUAUCAAGCAAGCUUUGUAUGAACUGGUGAUUCUUCAUUUGCGGAAACCUGAGCUCUUCUCACAUGAGAAACUUCUUGGUCCACAAAAGGGGGUAUUGUUAUAUGGACCU
This 4750-nucleotide long non-coding RNA is filed under the name Populus tremula. RNAcentral's name for it is "long non-coding RNA (PTRE_LNC000124)". Lineage: Eukaryota; Viridiplantae; Streptophyta; Magnoliopsida; Malpighiales; Salicaceae. The record is from RNAcentral.